Molecule: long non-coding RNA, 732 nt
Organism: Dendroctonus ponderosae (mountain pine beetle)
Lineage: Eukaryota; Metazoa; Arthropoda; Insecta; Coleoptera; Curculionidae
Exons: 3
Source: RefSeq, a predicted model, not a curated record
AUGUUGGAAAUCUGCUUGAUGGCCACCGGUGACCACCGGUGGUUCUGUGGGACCGCCGCCUAAGUUAUACCACAAAUUAUUAUACCGCUGUUUUUACUUGCAUUGUAGAAUCCGGCCUUAGUCGUAUAUUUGACGUAAAAUUACCGCCAAGUGAUCCAGAUAAACAAUUUCUUGACAAGACAGAGUAAACAAGUAUUUUGUGUCGACUUGUAAUUAAUGAGUAUUGUUCAAAACCAACGGAUAGUUGAUUUUUGGAUUUUCGAUCAGUUUUAUAUUGAAAAUACAGUCGCAGUAAUCCGCCGAAACAAUCUCCGGCAAAGUGUCGAAAAUCGUAUAUGCAUACCGGCGUAUUCGUUGGUGAUACAUUUGUCCCUUCACUCCUAUAUCGAACAGACCCUAUUUCGAUCGGCAUUAGUUGCAGACUGGCAUUAGUAAGUGUGAAAUUUUUGCGGCUGAUUAACCGCCGCGCGCCUGAUCAUGUCGGACAAAAAAUAGUUGCGAUAGGUGUGAGAUAAUUAGAAGAGAUGGAGAAGAAGAUCUACAAUAGAACAUUAACGUGAAGAGAAGAUAAUUGAUGAUGAUUUUGACAGCAAUUUAGACCAGGAGUCAGAAGUUACUGAAAGUAACGUUUAUAGCAGUGGUUCUGGACAAUAAGCAGAUGAAGGAGAAGCAGAAUUUGAACCACUCGAACAAGACAAGGAUUAUCAACUUUUUAUUGGAAAAAACAAUGAU